Long non-coding RNA from Mesocricetus auratus (golden hamster), 3293 nucleotides. RefSeq lists it as uncharacterized. Lineage: Eukaryota; Metazoa; Chordata; Mammalia; Rodentia; Cricetidae. The record is from RefSeq and is a predicted model, not a curated record. The transcript has 3 exons.
CCUGUAUAUCUGCUUUACUCCUUGCCUGGGGCUGCAUUAAGAGUCUUCAUUUUUGCUGUAAGGAAGCUGUAGCAUCCACCAUGCACGUGGUUAGUCCCACUGAGAAGUUGAAGGUGGAAGAAGCCAUUACCUGUUCUGGGUGAGGGAAGAAGAAAUUUUUCUAUGGAACAUUCCCAAUGGUGACAUAUUGACAGACUCAGUUUACCUUGCCCUUGUCUCCUCCAUUGUUUUUUUUUUUUUGUCUGCAGCUUAUAAGUUCUGAACCUGGCUCUGAAGCAAAUCAGGAUCUUUACUUUCCAUGGGUCUUUACAAGGCUUGGAAGUCCCACAGCCUGGACCCUGGUGAUUAACGACACUGGGGCUUUCUCCAUUGUGCAAGCCACAGGAAGGAAGGAAAGGAAGGAAGGAAGGACACUUAACAGGAGAGGGUGUCCACGUGUUGGGCCCUUGCACUUCAAAUCCUCUUGGGAGGGAAGCUGAGUCCUUCAGUCCAGUCCCUAGCUGGAUUGGCUCCAGUUCUGGAUGGGGUUGUGACCUGGGUCGGGUCAUCAAGCUGUGACCCUGGGUCAUCUGGGCUUUGCUUUGAUGAUCUGUCACCACAUCAGCCAAGGCCCAAGGAACUACUGCUGAGGACCAGAGACAUAAUCUGCCAGGCCCACGCCCUAGAUCUUUCACUGGUAUCUCCAAGGGGGAAAAUACACCAACACAAAUCCCCAAAGCUGGUGGUUGUUUCCAGACACUUGUCAGGGAGGGACGAAUGUGUUUAAUGAGCACAGAAGUAGCCAGGCAACAUAGCUAUUUGAAGACAGGAGUUGGAUACUCCCCUUCACGUCCGGAACUUUAGUUAGAAGUAGGAAAUCUUGAGCAGACAGCUCUGCUUCCCUGUCUCCCUAUGGGUUGACAUUGAACUUCGUUCUACCAUGCUUCUUGGAGGGUCUGGGGGCAUAAAGACCCUUGGUCUCAGAGGUAACCUACUCAUUGUCAUCCCUGUUGGCUUUGCUCCCUUCCUUAAUUGAUUCACUCAUGCUUUCUGUAAUUUCUCCCCCUCCCCGAAGUGAGCUCACUCUACUCCCAAUCUCCAUGCCUGGCCUGCUUUGGGAAGUCUGAAUCAGGACUUGGGCUUCAUGACUUGGAUCUGCUGUUUUGUUCCAUGUCCCACCUGACUACCCUUCAGUCACUCUGCUUGAGAUCCCAAAGUAGCAUCUUCUUGUCACUCUCGGGAGACAGAGUCUCACUCUCUAGCCUAAGUCUUGCUCUGGGGACCAGGUAGGCCUGCAACUUGUGGCAAUCUCCCAUCUCUACUUCUCCCGGACCUUCAAAGUCAUUUGUCCCUGGUAUGAGUAGCUGCCGGGCCACCAUAGGACCUUGGGUAGUUUUCUGAAUUCUUACUGAGGCAGGGUAUGAAGCCAUCUACCAAUCUGCUUCUGAGUGUGACCAGAGAUGCCCCUGGAGGCUUUCUGUCUGCCUCCAGAGUCACCUCAGUGGGUGGAGACGUGUUGCAGUGGUUGCGGGCCCUGGCAUGUGAAGCCCAGAAACAGGGGUACUCCCUUGCCUGUGUCUGGUGUGUGCUCAUGUGAGCAAAGGCUGUUUCCAAAGACACAGGGCAUGUGCCCAAAGCUGUCCUGAUGGACAGCCUUCCUCAAGGGUCUUCCUUCACUUGCUCCAUGAGGUCCAGUGGUAGGAGUCAUGAAGGGACAGGAAAAAGUCAGGUGAGCAGAGGGACUUGGAGUCAGAACUGUACUGUCAGGUGGCCUGGCUCCUGGCUCCACCUUUUCCUGUGUGGGUGACAUUUUAGCAGUUCCUUAGCAUCUCUAUAUCUCAGUGUCUGCACCUGUAGCUUGGGGAACACUCACCGGUUUAUGCCACGAAGAUGGCAACUCACGGCAGCCAUCUCUGGACAGGGAGGUCUCCCUUGAUUGCUUCGCUGCCAGAUGUCCUUGGAAUUUCAGCUCUGGCUGAGGAGCUCGCUGGAAGGACUAGAUGGAGACUGUGAACAAUUUUUGCCCACAGCCCUUCCUCGUUCCUUACAAAGGGAUUCAUGCAGAGAUCACUGGCCAAGAGAACAGACAUGGGAUGGGCCUAGUGAAUUCGGAACCCUGGGUCAUCUCUUGUUCACCCCAUGACAUGGAACACACUAUAGAACAAUUAGGAAAUCCAGCCUCUGAGGGAGGAAAGCAGGGGGAUGCAAUAAACACAUUGACUCAUUGACUGAAUUCACUUCUUCAGACAGCAGCUAGGUCCAAAGGAGAUAAGUCUCCAUCAGGAUGCUGUAGAAGGACCAGGUUUGACUCAAGCAUGGAUGACCAUCACUCAGUUUGUUGUAGUCAUAUGGGCUCUGGGACAAGAUUGCCUGCCUUGAAAUCUCGGCUCUAUCUCUUAUUUGAAUCCAGAUAAACAGCUUAACUUCCUCUGUAAAGCACGGCAUGCUGAUUUGUGCGGACAUCUCGGAGAGCAACUUGUCCAGCAGAGUCUAAGAUGCUCAUACCAUGAAGCAGACGUUUCUUCUUUAGCUGCACACUCCAGUGGGACAUCUGCAUGUACAGGUAGACUUGGCUGCCAGUAUGGUCACUGCAGCACUGCCUGUGAAGCAGGAGACCUUGGACUCCAGGACUUCCUAACAGCACAGUGGAUAAAUAGAUUGUGGUGGAGUGACAUAAUGAAAUAGAAAACAGAGUGAACAAACAGCACUUCAAUGCUGACAGCACGGAGAAUCUGGAAAAGCAAGGUGGAGAAAGUUAAGUGCAUUAAGAUUGCUGUGAAAGUAAAUUGUGUACCUGUUCUCAUAAGGGUGAUAUUCUGUGACAUAAUUUGCAUAUUGUUUAUGGUCACCGCGGUACCUCCUCCAGCAGCUUGUGAACCUGUGACUCACAAUGGGUGCUUGGAACCACAAAUAACACUAAACUCUCACUAUGGUUGUCCUCCUUGCAAAGUACUCAGGAACUUUUUUAUUUUUUUUAUCUUUUCACUUGAAUGACUUCACAAGUUGUCUUUACGAUAUCUAAAAUCACUGGCGACUUUCCUUUUCUGUUUUAGGGACAUACAAUAAUGGUGACUUGAAUACAAGCCCUGUAAUACUGACAGUUGUUCUGAUAGCCAACUAAAGUCACCAAAGUGUGGAUGUGGAUUGGCAUCAAGAUGGAAACGACUAUGCCACGGUGAGAUUUUAUCACCGUGUUCCCCAAAAUGCACAAUCUAAGGCUCGGGAAUAGAUUAUGUCUGGAAAGUUUCACCGGGAUGUGCUAUGUGUUCCAGUUUCCCUUUUGCUGUUGUGAUAAAACACUCUGACCAAAAGUA